RNAcentral lists this ribosomal RNA (696 nucleotides) under Triticum aestivum (bread wheat). RNAcentral's name for it is "partial small subunit ribosomal RNA". Lineage: Eukaryota; Viridiplantae; Streptophyta; Magnoliopsida; Poales; Poaceae. The record is from RNAcentral.
AUGAUCAUGCGAUAUGGGUUACAAGCAAACCUGACGAACAGGCUAACCGCGGCUGCUACACGCGAACUCGCUGCUCUCUCCUUGUUGUUGCAGGACUUUCAGCUUACUGACGCCCCGGACGAACGGUUCCUGACCCAUGGCAAGGGAUACUCCUCCAGGCAGGCGUACCAGCUCCUACUUCAGGAGGAUAUUGAGGACGACCACGCGGCGCUGAUCUGGCGAUCCAGAGCCCCUCACAAGCUCAAAAUAUUUGCUUGGUUGCUUUUUCGUGGACGGCUAAACACCAAGUGCAACCUGUUUCACAAGACAAUCGUCCCUGAUGCCUCCUGCCCGCGCUGUGGCGGCCCAUCUGAAGACACUGCCCACCUGUUCCUCCUCUGCCCUCACGCAGCUCGGAUUUGGGAACGGUUGGGUCUCUCCCCAUCGUCAAGAUUCCAGGACCUAUGGCUACUACCGGUACCCGCUAACUUAAAUGGUCGCGUUUGGCCUGAGGUGCUACUCAUGAUACUCUCCAAGAUAUGGGAUUCUAGAAACGCGGCUGCCUUCCGUAACGAAUCACAUUCUGCCAUCCUCACUGUGAGGAACAUCUGUAAUGAUCUUGAAAUUUGUAAUAACCGCUUCAGAGACCCGGUUGACAAGGCAGUUGCCAACUCUUGGCUGCUGUUCCUUACCUCACGGCUAGCCGUGACCUUGUAA